UGUUGAAUGAUGUGAAAUCAGACGGAUUCCCACUGAUAUUAUUUGUAUAUGAUUACACAACCAGCUACUACUGACAACA
Molecule: non-coding RNA, 79 nt
Organism: Glycine max (soybean)
Lineage: Eukaryota; Viridiplantae; Streptophyta; Magnoliopsida; Fabales; Fabaceae
Source: Rfam